RNAcentral lists this ribosomal RNA (301 nucleotides) under uncultured bacterium. RNAcentral's name for it is "partial 16S ribosomal RNA". It matches the Rfam family "Bacterial small subunit ribosomal RNA", at positions 509 to 809 of the family's 1533-position model. The record is from RNAcentral.
CAGUCGCCGCGGGAAUACGAAGGGGGCUAGCGUUGUUCGGAUUAGCUGGGCGUGAAGGGUGCGUAGGCGGGUUUUUAAGUCAGAGGUGAAAUCCCAAGGCUCAACCUUGGAACUGCCUUUGAUACUGGAAAUCUUGAGUCCGGGAGAGGUGAGUGGAACUGCGAGUGUAGAGGUGAAAUUCGUAGAUAUUCGCAAGAGCACCAGUGGCGAAGGCGGCUCACUGGCCCGGAACUGACGCUGAGGCACGAAAGCGUGGGGAGCAAACAGGAUUAGAUACCCCUGUAGUCCCUGUCUCUUAUAA